This 234-nucleotide unclassified non-coding RNA is filed under the name Glomus sp. RNAcentral describes it as "partial contains 5.8S ribosomal RNA and internal transcribed spacer 2". The stretch from base 1 to 65 matches the Rfam family "5.8S ribosomal RNA", at positions 84 to 154 of the family's 154-position model. The record is from RNAcentral. Lineage: Eukaryota; Fungi; Glomeromycota; Glomeromycetes; Glomerales; Glomeraceae.
GUGAAUCAUCGAAUUUUUGAACGCAAAUUGCACUCUCUUCGGAGAGUAUGCCUGUUUGAGGGUCAGCCUAAAAAAAAAAAUCGACAUAGUCGCUGUUUCGCGGUUCCAUUCGUCGGAAAUUGGGUCAUUUUAAACCCUUUGGUUUUAAGCUGCUUAAAAUUUUCUUUACGAUUCCACGAACGUUUCUAAGAUUUAUUUCUUAUACGUUUAAGGUAUCCACCUUUAUUAAACGUG